This 490-nucleotide ribosomal RNA is filed under the name uncultured bacterium. Its description in RNAcentral is "partial 16S ribosomal RNA". It matches the Rfam family "Bacterial small subunit ribosomal RNA", at positions 29 to 507 of the family's 1533-position model. The record is from RNAcentral.
AGUGAACGCUGGCGGUAGGCCUAACACAUGCAAGUCGAACGGUAACAGGAAGAGGCUUGCUGCUUCGCGGUCGAGGGGCGGACGGGUGAGUAAUAUCCGGGAGGAUGUCUGUUGGAGGGGGGGAUCUACUAGGAACGGUAGCUCCAACAGCAUAAAGUCCCAAGACCAAAGAGGCGGACCUUCGGGCCUCUUGCCAUCGUAUGUGCCCAGAUGUGGGUAGCUAGAUGGUGGGGUACCGGGCCACCAAGGCGACGAUCCCCAGAUGGUCUGAGAGGAUGAGCAGCCACACUGGAACGGAGACACGGUCCAGACUCCUACGGGAGGCAGCAGUGGGGAAUAUUGGACAAUGGGCGCAAGCCUGAUGCAGCCAUACCGCGUGUAUGAAGAAGGCCUUCGGGUUGUAAAGUACUUUGAGCGGGGAAGAAGGGAAUAAAGUUAAUACCCUUGCUCAUUGACGGUACCCGCAGAAGAAGCACCGGCUAACUCCGUG